GGAAUGAAGAACGUAGCGAAAUGCGAUAAGUAAUGUGAAUUGCAGAAUUCAGUGAAUCAUCGAAUCUUUGAACGCACAUUGCGCCCGCCAGUAUUCUGGCGGGCAUGCCUGUCUGAGCGUCAUUUCAACCCUCAUGCCCCUAGGGCGUGGUGUUGGGGAUCGGCCAAAGCCCGCGAGGGACGGCCGGCCCCUAAAUCUAGUGGCGGACCCGUCGUGGCCUCCUCUGCGAAGUAGUGAUAUUCCGCAUCGGAGAGCGAUGAGCCCCUGCCGUUAAACCCCCAACUUUCCAAGGUUGACCUCAGAUCAGGUAGGAAUACCCGCUGAACUUAAGCAUAUCAAUAAGCGGAGGA
RNAcentral lists this unclassified non-coding RNA (350 nucleotides) under soil metagenome. RNAcentral's name for it is "partial contains 5.8S ribosomal RNA, internal transcribed spacer 2, and large subunit ribosomal RNA". The stretch from base 4 to 122 matches the Rfam family "5.8S ribosomal RNA", at positions 36 to 154 of the family's 154-position model. The record is from RNAcentral.